Molecule: ribosomal RNA, 443 nt
Filed under: uncultured bacterium
Lineage: Bacteria
Description: bacterial SSU rRNA
Rfam family: Bacterial small subunit ribosomal RNA
Source: RNAcentral
GUGAACGCUGGCAGCGUGGAUAAGGCAUGCAAGUCGAAUGGGUUUAGACCCAUGGCAAACGGGUUAGUAACACGUAGGGAAUGUACCUCUGUCUAGAGCAUAACUCUCCGAAAGGAGAGCUAAUUCUCUAUGGUCUCGGAGUACGAAAGUACAUCGGGUAAAGAUUUAUCGGACAGAGAACAUCCUGCGUCCUAUCAGCUAGUUGGUGAGGUAAUGGCUCACCAAGGCUAUGACGGGUAGGGGGUGUGAGAGCACGACCCCCAACACUGGGACUGCGACACUGCCCAGACACCUACGGGUGGCUGCAGUCGAGAAUCUUCGGCAAUGCACUAACGUGUGACCGAGCGACGCUGCGUGGAGGAAGAAGGCCUUCGGGUUGUAAACUCCUGUCGUGUGGGAAAAAUUUUGAUGGUACCACACAAGAAAGGGGCGCCUAACUCUGU